RNAcentral lists this ribosomal RNA (202 nucleotides) under uncultured bacterium. RNAcentral describes it as "partial 16S ribosomal RNA". It matches the Rfam family "Bacterial small subunit ribosomal RNA", at positions 1301 to 1500 of the family's 1533-position model. The record is from RNAcentral.
UAGGCUGCAACUCGCCUACACGAAGCUGGAAUCGCUAGUAAUCGCGGAUCAGCACGCCGCGGUGAAUACGUUCCCGGGCCUUGUACACACCGCCCGUCACACCAUGAGAGUUGGCAAUACCCAACGUACGUGAUCUAACCCGCAAGGGAGGAAGCGUCCUAAGGUAGGGUCAGCGAUUGGGGUGAAGUCGUAACAAGGUAAC